RNA transcript from Zea mays, 1835 nucleotides. It is a transcript of the gene named RNA-directed DNA methylation - phosphoinositide phosphatase - TSL-kinase interacting protein - glycerol kinase pseudogene, with no coding region annotated. Lineage: Eukaryota; Viridiplantae; Streptophyta; Magnoliopsida; Poales; Poaceae. The record is from RefSeq and is marked validated. The transcript is spliced from 10 exons.
ACACGCUGCACCGCCGCCGCCGCUUCUCCUCCCCCACCGCACCAUCGCCCUGAGUACCACCGCACACGCCGCCGGGGCCGCAUCUCUCCCCGUCAGGGCCCAGCCGAACACUGUCGUCGCCUCCACCUCCGCGUUUGGGCCAUCGCAAGAGUUCAGGGCUCCUCUAGGGUUCGAGAUCAAAUCCGGCCAGCAGAGCAGUAUCCUCAGCACCACGCUCACCAUCCCCCUCUACCUCGGCACCGGCGUCUUCACCCUCGGGUACACACCACGCCUUUUCUCACCAUCUGAGCAUUGCCAAGGAGCUCCUCUCCAUCCCCGAUGGCACCCUCGCCCCACCACCGACGACGAAUGGGCGCUUCAGAUUCCUGAUCAGCAGGAGAGUCGUUGAGGCUGAGACGACGACACGAAUGCGGCAAGGAGCUUCAGAUUCACUGCCAUUAGAAACUUGCAGGUAAGAAAUACUGCGGUGGUUUGGACCUCAGUUAUUGGCCAGAUGAAGGUCGGAGGCCAUUAUCAGAUCCUCGUCCACCUUUGGGCUAAUGCUGAUAAGAGGACGAGUGUCGUACACCUCUCCAAUUCCCCCCUUCAAUGUGGUCAGUGUUGAAUCAUCUACGUCAUACAGUGAACAAGGGCAUACUGAUGAGAGAAGGGAUGACAUGGAUUUUUCUCAUUCGAGCAUCAGGUUUUGUGCGCUGAUUAUGGUGUGGUCGUUGGGCAGUGGCACAAGCCUGGACGUCGUUGCUGCUGCCAUUCAAAUUUUGGAGCUGGAGCUUCGGACCAAGCUGGACCGAAAUCUGUUGCUGGUGAUGGUUGGAACAAGGGUGGUGAUCAGAAUAGCAGUUGGAACAGUCCUGGAAAUUUUGGAGAAUUCAUGGGGUGGUGACAAUGCUGAAAAAUCUUCUUGGAGGUUUGAUAAUCAGGUAGACAAUGAAGCUGGAGAUUCUGGUGGAUAUAGGGGACGGGGAAGAGGAGGAAGGGGGCAAUAUGGAGGACGAGGAAGAGGCAGAGACAAUGGUUGGAGAAAUGGUGAUGGACCAAAAUGGGAUGGUGGAGAUAAUUGGAACGCUACAAAUCCACCAAGUAAUCAGCCUUGGAGUAGCAGUGGAGGCACCAAGUCAUAUGGUCAAAAUCAGCCUUCCACUUGGAAUAAUUCAGAGGAUAACAAACCAUCUGUAGGUGAACAAGGUGAUCCUUGGGCAAGCAAGGUGUCUUCUACUGAAGGUAAAGGACAACAGAAUGAUUCUUGGUCAAGUAAGAUGACUUCUCGUGGUGCUGAGGAUACCAGAGGUGGCUGGGACAGCAAGGUGAAAGGCUCUUCCUGCAAUGAUGGGGGCAUUAGCAUAAAUCAUAUGAAGGAAGUAGAUUCACAUGCACCCGUGAAGCAGAAGCUACAAUUAUUUCCAAUAAAUGAAGCUACUCUUAAGCCAUUUGAGAAGGUUGAUUUAUUAGACAGCCCUAUUGCCAGACUACCUGACAUAGAGACCACAACACUUGGAGCCACAUAUGUUGCUAGCUUAGAUGCAGGAGUUUGGACCAAGGAACAAGUAUUUGCAGGUUAGCACAAGGAGAACGCGACAAUCUUUCGCCCAAAACUGGAUGAGGUGCACAAGAAGAGGGCUGAUUCAUGGUACAAGACGGUUUCAAGAUCAUUCGAUUUGGCUGACCUUUCUCUGUAAAUGUUUCUUGUCGGCGUUGAUCUAUCUGUUUUUGGAAGAUGCAAAUGAAUAAAUUGGUCUUUGCUGGUACUAUUCUUAACUACUUGUUAUUUACGGUCUUUACAAAAGCGAGUACAAGAAUAUCCUCAAAUUUUCGGCAGGAAGUAUUUUUCUAGAAUA